CAUGGCUCAGGAUGAAUGCUGGCGGCAUGCCUAAUACAUGCAAGUCGAGCGGUAGCAUGGCUUCACCGUUCUCUUGACACACUUGGCUUUAUGCGAGUGGUAAGAUUCGAGGGAACUGUGAAGCUGAUGACGAGCGGCGGACGGCUGAGUAACGCGUGAGAACAUACCCCAAAGUGAGGGAUAACUAGUCGAAAGAUUAGCUAAUACCGCAUGUGAUCUUUGGAUUAAAGCAUUUAUGCGCUUUGGGAAUGGCUUGCGUACGAUUAGAUAGUUGGUGAGGUAAAGGCUCACCAAGUCGACGAUCGUUAGAUGGUUUGAGAGGAUGAUCAUCCAGACUGGGACUGAGACACGGCCCAGACUCCUACGG
RNAcentral lists this ribosomal RNA (367 nucleotides) under uncultured bacterium. RNAcentral describes it as "bacterial SSU rRNA". It matches the Rfam family "Bacterial small subunit ribosomal RNA", at positions 18 to 344 of the family's 1533-position model. The record is from RNAcentral.